This 90-nucleotide non-coding RNA is filed under the name unclassified sequences. The record is from RNAcentral.
AAUAUACUGCCACCGGGUAGAAAAAGUGCAAACGGCACCUUAUACACAUCGUUAGGUCUUUGAAGAUGUGUAUUAAGGUGUUUUUUUAAU